Molecule: transfer RNA, 76 nt
Filed under: Alphaproteobacteria bacterium
Lineage: Bacteria; Pseudomonadati; Pseudomonadota; Alphaproteobacteria
Also listed under: 1 other name
Description: tRNA-Ala
Rfam family: tRNA
About the family: Transfer RNA (tRNA) molecules are approximately 80 nucleotides in length. Their secondary structure includes four short double-helical elements and three loops (D, anti-codon, and T loops).
Source: RNAcentral
GGGGUUGUAGCUCAGUUGGUAGAGCACUUGCAUGGCAUGCAAGGGGUCGUCGGUUCAAGUCCGAUCAGCUCCACCA